CACACGUGCUACAAUGGCGCAUACAAAGAGAAGCGACCUCGCGAGAGCAAGCGGACCUCAUAAAGUGCGUCGUAGUCCGGAUUGGAGUCUGCAACUCGACUCCAUGAAGUCGGAAUCGCUAGUAAUCGUGGAUCAGAAUGCCACGGUGAAUACGUUCCCGGGCCUUGUACACACCGCCCGUCACACCAUGGGAGUGGGUUGCAAAAGAAGUAGGUAGCUUAACCUUCGGGAGGGCGCUUACCACUUUGUGAUUCAUGACUGGGGUGAAGUCGUAACAAGGUAACCGUAGGGGAACCUGCGGUUGGA
This 306-nucleotide ribosomal RNA is filed under the name Escherichia coli. RNAcentral describes it as "bacterial SSU rRNA". It matches the Rfam family "Bacterial small subunit ribosomal RNA", at positions 1217 to 1522 of the family's 1533-position model. Lineage: Bacteria; Pseudomonadati; Pseudomonadota; Gammaproteobacteria; Enterobacterales; Enterobacteriaceae. RNAcentral also lists the same sequence under 2 other names. The record is from RNAcentral.